AUUAAUAUUUUGAAUGUCUAUCAUUUUCUUAUGUUAAUUAUGCAAAGAAAUGAUAUGGUAACCAAUCAUCAGGUUCUUUCAGACUAAAUCCCUAUGUUUCUUUUUUUUUUUUUUUAAACCAUGAUUUUCCUUUUGUCCUUGAUUUUCUAUAGUGAUUGCGGCAAGCAACUGAAAAACGCAGAGAUAAUUAAGUUGUAAUGUGCUCAGAUUUACAGGUUGGUGGAAAUGAAACGAUCAACAUGUUUGAGAGGUCUUGUGAUUACCUUAUGUGCUUUCUAUCACCGUGACAUUCUUCUGCAUGAACAUCAAAGUUUUGAAGGUUCUUAUAAGUAGCGAGGGGAAGCUUUGAAGGCAUAUUCAUGGUGGCUUUGUGGCAAAUGGCAUUGCACUCAUACAGAGCAAAUACCUAGGAAAUUUUGCAUACAAUAUGCGCCUGACUGAUUUUUCCUAAUCUUUUAAGUAGUGAUUGAAAAUUGGAUAUUUGUCGUAAACCAAAUUUGGAACUAGGGAAUGUAUUGAAAAUCCAUUGAUUGCAUGAAUUGAUUGAAAUGUGCAAAGUCCUUGAAAAGUGGAAAAGAACAUUGCUAAGAAGCAGCUGAAUCUCGGUAAAAGUGAUUAUUGAUUUUACUUGCAGAUGUAUAUAACACUACUAUCUGUGUAUAAAAUUCAUUUGGAC
RNAcentral lists this small RNA (676 nucleotides) under Vigna angularis var. angularis. RNAcentral describes it as "Non-protein coding transcript". The record is from RNAcentral. Lineage: Eukaryota; Viridiplantae; Streptophyta; Magnoliopsida; Fabales; Fabaceae.